Molecule: small RNA, 1269 nt
Filed under: Histoplasma ohiense
Lineage: Eukaryota; Fungi; Ascomycota; Eurotiomycetes; Onygenales; Ajellomycetaceae
Description: hypothetical lncRNA
Source: RNAcentral
GCCUCAUAAGUGUCAAACUGCUUUCUUCCUCAUCUAUGUCAACAGACAUUUCAAUUGUGGUUUUCGGACGGUUCUUGUUCAGUCCCUCAAGCAACAUGCAAGAUUUGCAGAUCCUCUGACUGGCCAUAUAACCACAUCUCUCGCAUUGGCCCAUCGUUUGAAGUUUCAUCCGCGGUUGACCCGAUCCUGUACUGCCUUGAAGCUUCCUAUACGGCAAAAUCUCCGUUUCAUCAACAUUGGCAAUCUGAUUUCCCGCCAGUUCUUUUUCCAUCUCUGCCAUUUCUCCAACAUUUAUCCCUCCCCGUUGGCUACCGCACCCGCCAGCCGAAUAGCGUUCUGUCCCUCCCCGCAUCGUCACGGCAAAUGUACGGGUGAGCAAUUUGCCAGACCUACUUAUUUCCAGAGGUACCAGCCUGGCCAUGUCCUCCCCGCUCCUGACUAUAUCCAAUAUAGAGCUCGGGCGCACUUUCUCGAGAUCCUUUAUCAGUGUCCUCGCACUCCCUCGGAAAGCCUCCGGUGAAUAGAUGCAUUCAGUACUAAAAUAACACAAUUUCUUAUAGUGGGCAUACAGGACUAUUUCCUUCUCAUACGCAUACUUGAGCGGUUUGCUCCGUUUGAUAUCACUUGCCGACGACUCUGUCACAAUAUUCGUCGAACGCGCUAGUCGAGGAAGAUCACCUCGUAAUAGAUUCAUCACAAUCGUCUCGGCAACAUCAUCCGCGUUAUGUCCAGUGACAACAUGUCCAAUGCCUAACUUGGCAGCACCCCGGUCAAGCGCCUGUCGUCUGAACACUCCGCAAUAAGUGCAAUUCCCCUUUGUUCCAAUCUCCGCAACCACCUGGUCCAUCGUCCAGCCGUAUAGCUCACCAUAUCCCACUAUUUCUAGCGGCAUGCAAUAUUGCAUUGCAUUGCGCUUAACUGUCUCCAGACUAUCAUCACGGUAUCCCUUAAUUCCCUCAUCGAUUGAGAGAAGCAUAAGUUCCAGGCCAUAGCCGUGGCGUUCAUUCAGCGUUUUGAGAACUGAGGCGAGGACGGUGCUGUCCUUACCACCACUGGCACCGAUGGCGACGCGUUCGCCCUGGAUAAAAAGAGCAUUCGUGGUUAUAGUAUCAUGAAUUUCAGUUUCAAAAAUUUCGACAAAGCAUGCUUUGCAGAGUUUGUGUCUGUUUUUAGGGCGUAUAAUAAGGGCACGAGCGGAUUUGCACCGGUAGCAUAGGGUGGGGGCCAUCAUAGACGGAUACAUGAGUCGAUGGGAGGAGUGAAAACUUG